This is a non-coding RNA of Kogia breviceps (pygmy sperm whale), 905 nucleotides long. The record is from RefSeq and is a predicted model, not a curated record. NCBI's taxonomy places the organism in Eukaryota, Metazoa, Chordata, Mammalia, Artiodactyla, Physeteridae.
UGAGCAUUCUUUUCCACAGUGAUAGCCUGAUCAAUCCGAUUGUUUAUUGUAAAAAGAAGCAUCACAAAACCAGUUAUAAUAGAUAGAGCCAGUUCUAGUUAUCUGAGGGAGCUGGGAAUCUUUUUUCCUAAAACAUUUAUUUCAGUCUGAAUUUGAGUAUACAUAAACAUUAAAAUGCAAAUAUUUAAAUCUCUACCCUCCUCGCUUCUAAACAGUUUACCAAGCACCUGCCACAUUCUCAGCUCUUCUGCUUCUUAGCUGUGUGAAUUGGGCAAGUUAUUUAAUCUCUCAAAGUUUCCUCAUUUUUCAAAUGAGAAUAAUGGGUCCUCCUCUCACAGAGUUGCUGUGCAGAUUACAUGAAGUAAUAUGUGUUACACGCUCAGAACAGUCCCUGGUACUUUCAUCAUCUUCAUCAUGACUACCAUUAUCAUCAUCUAUAUUAUCACUGUUAUUUUUAUUUACAAGUCACCAUUAUGUGAUACAGAAGGUAUCUAUGUUAACAGUUGGGAGAUUGUUAAAUAAAUAAGAUUACCAGUCGGGAGAAUAUUAAAUAAAUAAAUAAAUAAGAGGAAAUAUUUUGUGAAUUCAUAAUAUGAAAAGUAAGUAUGUCAAAUUUCUGUAAAUCCAGAAAAACCUUAGAGGAGAAGAUGCUAUGUGGCAUACAUUUAAAGAAUGAGUACGGGUUUGAUGGAGGAAGGUGGAUUGGGAAUGGGUCGCAAGCAUUAGGAAUAGUUUAGUACAGGAAAAAGAAUAAUACCCUCUUAUCAAGUCAGCAUACAGGGACUUCCCUGGUGGUCAAGUGGUUAGACUCUGCGCUUCCAAUGCAGGGGCUGCGGGUUCAGUCCCUGCUUGGGGAACUAAGAUCCCACAUGCCGCACGGCAUGGCAAAAAAAAAAAAAGAAAAA